GAACAACUCUCAGCAACGGAUAUCUUGGCUCCUGCCGCAGCGAAAUGCGAUACGUUAUGUGAAUUGCAGAAUUCCGCGAAUCAUCGAGUCUUUGAACGCAACUUGCGCCCGAGGCUUGUCCGAGGGCAUUUCCGCUAGAGCGUCACC
This 147-nucleotide ribosomal RNA is filed under the name Donnellia commutata. RNAcentral describes it as "5.8S ribosomal RNA". It matches the Rfam family "5.8S ribosomal RNA". From Rfam's summary of the family: 5.8S ribosomal RNA (5.8S rRNA) is a component of the large subunit of the eukaryotic ribosome. The record is from RNAcentral. Lineage: Eukaryota; Viridiplantae; Streptophyta; Bryopsida; Hypnales; Sematophyllaceae.